This 253-nucleotide ribosomal RNA is filed under the name uncultured bacterium. RNAcentral's name for it is "partial 16S ribosomal RNA". It matches the Rfam family "Bacterial small subunit ribosomal RNA", at positions 524 to 776 of the family's 1533-position model. The record is from RNAcentral.
UACGAAGGGAGCUAGCGUUGUUCGGAAUCACUGGGCGUAAAGCGCACGUAGGCGGAUUUGUCAGUCAGGGGUGAAAUCCCGGGGCUCAACCUCGGAACUGCCUUUGAUACAGCAAGUCUUGAGUUCGAGAGAGGUGGGUGGAAUUCCUUGUGUAGAGGUGAAAUUCGUAGAUAUUAGGAAGAACACCGGUGGCGAAGGCGGCCCACUGGCUCGAUACUGACGCUGAGGUGCGAAAGCGUGGGGAGCAAACAGG